GACGAACGCUGGCGGCAUGCCUAAUACAUGCAAGUCGAGCGAACAGAUGAAGUGCUUGCACUUCUGACGUUAGCGGCGAACGGGUGAGUAACACGUAAGGAAUCUACCUAUAAGCGGGGGAUAACAUUCGGAAACGGGUGCUAAUACCGCAUAAUAUCUUCUUCCGCAUGGAAGAAGAUUGAAAGACGGCUCUGCAGUCACUUAUAGAUGACCUUGCGGUGCAUUAGUUAGUUGGUGGGGUAACGGCCUACCAAGACGAUGAUGCAUAGCCGAGCUGAGAGGGUGAUCGUCGAAAUUGCGACUGAGACACGGCCCGAACUCCUACGGGAUGCAGCAGUAGGGAAUCUUCCGCAAUGGGCGAAAGCCUGAAGGAGCAAUGCCGCGUGAGUGAAAAAGGCCUUCGGGUCGUAAAACUCUGUUAUAAGAGAAGAACAAAUUGUAGAGUAACUGCUACAGUCUUGACGGUAUCUUAUCAGAAAGCCACGGCUAACUACGUGCCAGCCGCCGCAGUAA
RNAcentral lists this ribosomal RNA (513 nucleotides) under uncultured bacterium. RNAcentral's name for it is "partial 16S ribosomal RNA". It matches the Rfam family "Bacterial small subunit ribosomal RNA", at positions 28 to 523 of the family's 1533-position model. The record is from RNAcentral.